Gopherus flavomarginatus (Mexican gopher tortoise) is the source of this 5415-nucleotide long non-coding RNA. RefSeq lists it as uncharacterized. Lineage: Eukaryota; Metazoa; Chordata; Testudines; Testudinidae. The record is from RefSeq and is a predicted model, not a curated record. The transcript is spliced from 2 exons.
AAUCUACAGCUGUUGAUGAGAGACUGAAAAGUUCUGACCCCUUUGGGGGCUUUAUACAUCAUAUUGGGGUGGACCAAAGUUCCACUUCAUGCUGUUGGAAGUUAGAGCAAGACUUUUUCCUUAUCUUUCAACACCAGUUAUCCUGAGACAAGAGGAAGGAUGUAUCUGUCUAACAUCCAUUUCUCCCAACAUAUAGAUAUAUUUGUUUAUGAUGCAGCAGUAAACUGCACUGGCUUGUGGAGCUAAUGUCAGGAAAGUUCUAGCCUGAAGUGGAAAUGCUAGUAUUUAUGGAGUUUUGUCAGUGUAGCUGUGUUUGUGUGUGGAAAAUACCACCACCUCCCACAACUCCCGUAGCUGAGCCUACAUUACCCCCACAGCAUGUGCAGCUAUUUCAUCAGAAGAUUCUUCUGGCUAAUAACUGGGAGGUGGUGUCACUGUAACUGCAAACAGUGUUGGCUUAUGCCAGGGUUAACUGAUUGUUUGGGCAUGCUCUAAAUUUCUUGGUCAAGGGGCAGACCCUGGUGAAAUACUCUUCAUACUGCACUAGCUAGUAAAAAGACUGCACAGUCUGCUCAAAAGAGCUGACAGUCCAGUUUUGACCUGCGAUCUGCCUAUUGACUAUCCCUGACCUAUGCUAUGUCUACAGUGAACAGGGAUUUUGCUGGUACAGCUUUUGGGGCAGAGCCUAUCUCAUAUAGGCCACACCUAAUACAUAUAGGUCUUCAGCUAUACAGAUGUUUCACCAUUAUUGGGGUUCUUAGCACCUGUUAUGUAUGUAGACAGGCUGUUAAAAAUUCUACUUCAAAAUGUAGAAAAGUCUGGAUUUUAAAACUCUGGUUCUGGUUUUAAUGUGUGGCUGAGAUUUGUAGGGAUGCCCUCAAUGCUGGAUCUUCCCUGAGUUUGAGCAUUUUUCAUACUGAAGUAGAUUUUAUCUCCCCCUGCAUUUGAGACUCCAUGGCCAUCUCCAUCUGGAGUAAUUCCAAUUUUGAGACAUCCUCUCUCUCCCCACCAAGGCUCAUCCAGAAUAUCACUCUCCCAAUUUCUGAUACACGUGCAUGCACACAAGCUCCUUCCCUCUGAGGUAUCAAUCCCUACUAUCUGUUAAGCAUUUAAGUGGUUUCAUUCAUCAUAAGCUACUUCCUAGCACAGAAAACAAAUUCUGAAGCAUGUUAAUUUGUUGGAAUUCCAGGAAAUAUCCUACAUUCCAAUGAGCACACAACUAUGGAUCAUAUUCAAAGAUACUCAAGCAGUAGCAAAUAGGAUACAUUUUGGUAUUUCAGAAAAAUGUCAAAUGGCUGCACAAUCACAGCAUUGUAUGCAAUGACUGGGGCAGCUCAGACCUUUGAGCUGUUGUUUUAGGUUGUUCAUGGACUCAGAUGAAUAAGUUUACAUUUGUUUGAAAGAAACGCCAUCUGCUCAAGAAACUCCUUACUAUAGCACAGGAACAAAUUACACGGACACAUCCCUGGAGCCCCGACCACAGGUAUUCUAUCUGCUACCCAAGAUCCAUAAACCUAGAAACCCUGGAUGCCCCAUCAUCUCAGGCAUUGGCACUCUUACAGCAGGAUUAUAUGGCUAUUUGGAUUCUCCUCAGGGCCUACACUACCAGCGCUCCUAGUUAUCUUUGAGACACCACCGACUUCCUGAGGAAACUACAAUGCAUUGGUGAUCUUCCUGAAAACACUCCUGACCAUCAAGGAUGUAGAAGCUCUUUACACCAAUAUUCCACAUGAGGAUGGACUACAAGCUGUCAAGAACAGUAUCCCUGAUGAGGCCAUGGCACAUGUAGUGGCUGAGCUUUGUGCCUUUGUUCACCCACAACCAUUUCAGAUUUAGGGACAACUUACACCUUCAAGUCAGCAGCACUGCUAUGGGUACCCGCAUGACCCCAAAGUAUGCCAACAUUUUUAUGGCUGACAGAAAAAUACAUCCUCAGCUCUCGUCCCCUCGCGCCCCUCCUCUACUUGUGCUACAUUGAUGACAUCUUCAUGUGGACCCAUAUGGGAGGCAGACCAGUCCUUGCUUGCAGACAGCCCCCCAACCUGAAGCAGAUACUAGCAACUACACACCACACCACAGAAACACUAACACAGUAACCAGUCCCUGUAACAAACCUCUUGCCUACUCUGUCCCCAUUAUCUACUCUAGCGACACCAUCAGAGGACCCCAACCACUUUAGCCACACCAUCAAGGACUCAUUCACCUGCAUAUCUACUAAUGUGAUAUAUGCCAUCAUGUGCAAGCAAUGCACCUCUGCCAUGUACAUUGGCCAGACCGGACAGAUUCUACAUAAAAGAAUAAAUGGACACAAAUCGGACAUCGGGAAUAGUAACAUACAAAAGCCAGUGGGAGAACAUUUAAUCGCCCUGGACGUUCUAUAACAGAUUAAAAGUAGCCAUACAUGAACAAAAAAACCUUCAAAAACAGACUUCAAAGGGAAACUGAAGAACUAAUGUUCAUUUGCAAAUUUAACACCAUUAAUUUGGGCUUCAAUAGAGACUGGGAGUGGCUGGCUCACUACAAAAGCAACUUUCCCUCUCCUGGCAUUGACACCUCAUCAAUUACUGGGAGUGGACCACAUCCACCCUGAUUGAAUUGUCCCUGUCAACACUGGUUCUCCACUUGUUAGGUAACUCCCUUCUCUUCAUGUGUCAAUAUAAUAAUGCCUGCAUCUGUAAUUUUCACUCCAUGCAUCUGAAGAAGUGGGGUUUUUUACCCACAAAAGCUUAUGCCUAACUGAAUCUGUUAGUCUUUAAGGUGCCACUGGAUGCCUCAUUAUCUUUCUAACACUAAGGCAGAGGUGGGGAACCUACAGCCCGCAGGCCAGACCCAGCCUGUUGCUUAAUUUCAUCUGGCCUUCAGUAAGUAUUUCUAAAAAUAUAGACUUAUGACAGUAGACUAUGAGGGGUGGAGACAGUGGAGGGGAUGAGGAGGGAGGGAGGUGAGCUGCAGGCAGUGUCUGUAACAGCAACACAGGCAAGGCAGAGCCUCCAGCCACACUAGUGUGUUAUGACUUCACAACAGACAGUGCUGGAGCCUGGAAGCGAGUUCCUCGGCCCCCGUGUGCUUCUAGCGUGGAGCAGCCAGUAGCGUCCCCAAGCUGCGUGCACACACAUGCCUAUGGUGGUGGUCAGGUUGUCAGAGAUGUAAGAAAAACUGCUAUCUGACUUAAUUUGCAACCUCAGCCGUCACACAAAAAAAAUGGGUGAGUUGAACGUUUUAUAUUUCUCACCAAAAAACUAAGCUGCUUUUUCUUGUGUGUGUGGCUUGCGAUUCAUUUUUUCCUGUGGGUCAGUGGCCUUGGUAGAAAAAAGGUUCCACACCCCUGCCAUAAUGGGUAAAAAUUUCCUUUGUUAAAGAAAAAAGAGAUGAGAUUGAGUACAACUCCACAGUCAGUUCUGUAGUUGCGAAUACAAAGAUGCUGGCAGUCAACCUACUAUGUUCAAAUUUAUAUUAUGCAAGAGAUCCUAAAAUGGUAGUGGAUAACAGCUGAACUCAUUGCCCUCUGUGCUUCAGAAACAGGACACAUCCAUCCCAACCUCUUGUGGAACUUCGCUUGCUGGAGAAGGUGCUUGACUAGAAGAGCUUGAAAAUCCACUUGUUUAUUCCUGCCCACUCAGCCUGUUAGGUGGCUGCACAUAUCCCUGCAGCACAAUCAUCUUCCUCUCCAGUCUUCUGCCCUGCAAAGAUAUGAGGCAGUCAGUCUGUACUAGCAACCCUGGUACAUGGCGUUUAGGAGGGAAAGCAAAGACAAAUGUAGAUAAAAAGUAAAAUUGAGAUUAUGAAUACAGGAAGAAAAAAAGGUGGGAUUAUUUCAUCUUUAACCAUAGAUCACUGUACAGGAAUUACAGCAAUACACAAGACAACUGUAUUGCUAAAUUACAACAUAUCUGAUUAGGUUCAGAUUUAUUAUUCACAAAGCAAACCACUGUUCAGCCCUUAUGCUCGUUUGUCUUAGUAUUUCCUCAUUUCUCAUAGACCUUUUGUCCAUUAAGGAUUGAGUCUUUUAAGAUAUACAAAUCUUGUGCAUUCAAUCUCACUGACUAGCCUAGAAAAUAUAGCUUAACCUCCAUUGAUCCUUUCAAAGACUGCCACUUCUAUGCGUGAGCAUGUGCUCUCUCUCUCUCAGAGCACUAUCUGUUAUCACAUUAAUGAACAUUUCACCACAGUUAUUUUCUCUGCGUGGCUGGAAUGCCGUUUGGAAAAUCAAAAUUCAUAGACAAUACAGGCCUCUUGUUGCAGUGGCAAAGGAGCUGUUGUCGAGCUGAUUACUUCUGUAGGUCUCAGUCUCUGUCAUCAUGUAGACUGCUGUAAUCUAUGCUGGCUGGCCAUGAUUCCCAAAGGGACCAUAUGCCAACUGGAGAAAGCCAGAGCCAGCUGGGGAUAGGAGCUGGCAAUGCCCAUUGGGGAAAGGAAGGCAGUCUCUGCCCGCUUUGCACUGCCUGAUCACUAAAAUAGGCCAGAGGGUCUUACCCAACAUCCAAUAUACCACUAUACCAGAUAAAAUUCAUGUCAGAGAGCAAGACUAGGACCAAUCAUAAUACAUAAUAAAGAAAUCAGUGAUAAUUAAUCCCUAGCCACAAAAGUGACACAACCACAGGAGAUCUCUUGUGCAGUCCAUAAUUGUUUCACAUAGUAGUUGUACACAUUGGGAGUGAUGGGGUCACCUCUUCCUGUGACAAACUCCCUGGAGGAGACAUUGGUGGAGAAGGUAAGAACCUUGCAGUUUCCCAUUGAUUGUCUCACCAGGAUGAUGGGUUCGGCUUCAUUGUCCACCAAAAUAGGCAAUGUUCAGCACCCAAACCCUUGUGGAUCUCAGAGAUCUGCUGGAGAUGCAGGAGCCAUUAGGCCUUCUACACAGUUCUUCCAGCUCACUGGCAGCAUAGCCUCAAUGAAGCCAGGGCUUCUCUGCCAUUGCACCUCUACCCUGACAUUGCAGGGGAAGCUCUAUACAAAAGCUAGAGCCCCCUCAGUCUGUAUUAGUUUCUUAGUGGAUUUUCUGCAGUGGAUGGAAUGAUGAACUGAGCCUCAGACUCACGCUGGGUCCUUCACCAGGGUGCGGGGCUGAAAACGUCGGUGCUAAGCCUAUCUGCACAAUAAGGCAAGAUCUGUAUGCACAGGAUCCGCACUGCAUGUGGGUCCCAAAGGAAUCUGUUGCUCUUGGAGGGGUCCAGAUUCUCAACAGGCAUAAUUUGAUGUUGUUUCACAGAAGCCAAUGAAGCUAUAUUGAGGAUCUGGCACUAGGACUUCAUUAGGAGGUUUCUGUUGGAAGCAAGUUUACCUGUUGUGUGUCAGAGUCCUGUGAUAUAAAUAUUCAGCUGUCGUGUUUUUGUUUUCUUUGAAUACUGAAGUCCUUGUCAUCUUCCGAAUCACUCUGUGACUGGAUUAGGCUCAUUAAAUCUUUACAAAAAUGGG